This 147-nucleotide ribosomal RNA is filed under the name Beauveria bassiana. RNAcentral describes it as "5.8S ribosomal RNA". It matches the Rfam family "5.8S ribosomal RNA". Rfam says of the family: 5.8S ribosomal RNA (5.8S rRNA) is a component of the large subunit of the eukaryotic ribosome. Lineage: Eukaryota; Fungi; Ascomycota; Sordariomycetes; Hypocreales; Cordycipitaceae. The record is from RNAcentral.
UCAACAACGGAUCUCUUGGCUCUGGCAUCGAUGAAGAACGCAGCGAAAUGCGAUAAGUAAUGUGAAUUGCAGAAUCCAGUGAAUCAUCGAAUCUUUGAACGCACAUUGCGCCCGCCAGCAUUCUGGCGGGCAUGCCUGUUCGAGCGU